UCGGUUCCAUCACUGCCUUUUUGAACUGAUGACUCACAUGAUACCCAAACAUCACCCCAGGAUAAUCAAUCAAUGUGCUGAUAUCCUGUAAGUGGCAGUCGGGACUGCAGACCCAGAGACAGCUGUGAGAUUGCACAACUCCAAGUCAUGAUGGAAGCUGAGAGAGGAUCAGGAAGCCUGGCCCAAUGCCAUCGUGAACUUAAAAACUGGAGAGAAGAUGGGUUAUGGCAGAAGGAUCCAUGUGCUCCUGAUUGCAUCUUCUGUCAUUGUUCAGCUCUGCAGUUACUUUGGAAUGGCUUCUUUCUCACGUAACCUGUUUGCAUGGUGGCCCAAAAGGCUAUUAGCAGCUCUGAGACUUUGCUUUUACAAUAUUAGCUUGAUGCAAAAGUAAUUGCGGUCUUUGCACUGUUAAAACUUGCCAUUUGAUAUUGGAACACAUUCUGAAUAAAUGUGG
Molecule: long non-coding RNA, 454 nt
Filed under: Capra hircus (goat)
Lineage: Eukaryota; Metazoa; Chordata; Mammalia; Artiodactyla; Bovidae
Description: lncRNA (ENSCHIG00000004477.1)
Source: RNAcentral